Rhincodon typus (whale shark) is the source of this 127-nucleotide long non-coding RNA. RefSeq lists it as uncharacterized. The record is from RefSeq and is a predicted model, not a curated record. Lineage: Eukaryota; Metazoa; Chordata; Chondrichthyes; Orectolobiformes; Rhincodontidae. The transcript has 3 exons.
CAAACACCUUGCUUUACCCCAGGCAAGGACACACCACAAUUAGACUGGAGCUUGCGCCAUAUUGCUAUUUCAGAGAGUGGAUAUGGAAACCUGCACAAAGAUGUAAUAAGAGAGUGGUUCAUGUGUG